GAUGAACGCUAGCGAUAGGCUUAACACAUGCGAGUCGCGGGGCAGCACAAGGUAGCUUGCUAUCUGGGUGGCGACCGGCGCACGGGUGCGUAACGCGUAUGCAACUUGCCCUAUACAGGAGGAUAACCCGUCGAAAGACGGACUAAUACUGCGUAUGCUCACAACUUGGCAUCAAGUGGUGAGGAAAGAAAUUCGGUAUAGGAUAGGCAUGCGUCCCAUUAGCUUGUUGGUGAGGUAACGGCUCACCAAGGCAACGAUGGGUAGGGGAACUGAGAGGUUUAUCCCCCACACUGGUACUGAGACACGGACCAGACUCCUACGGGAGGCAGCAGUGAGGAAUAUUGGUCAAUGGGCGCGAGCCUGAACCAGCCAAGUCGCGUGAAGGAUGACUGGCUUAUGGAUUGUAAACUUCUUUUAUACGGGAAUAACAAGAGUCACGUGUGACUCCCUGCAUGUACCGUAUGAAUAAGCAUCGGCUAACUCCGUG
Molecule: ribosomal RNA, 487 nt
Filed under: uncultured bacterium
Lineage: Bacteria
Description: partial 16S ribosomal RNA
Rfam family: Bacterial small subunit ribosomal RNA
Source: RNAcentral